UAGGGAAUUUUGCGCAAUGGACGAAAGUCUGACGCAGCAACGCCGCGUGAGGGAUGAAGGUCUUCGGAUUGUAAACCUCUGUGAAUGGGAAAAAAAGGUAGCAAUACUUUGAUGGUACCAUUUGAGGAAGCACCGGCUAACUACGUGCCAGCAGCCGCGGUAAUACGUAGGGUGCAAGCGUUGUUCGGAAUCACUGGGCGUAAAGGGAGCGUAGGCGGGAUCGUAAGUUAGGAGUUUAAUACAUGGGCUUAACCCGUGGCUGGCUUUUAAUACUGCGGUUCUUGAGUAUGGGAGAGGGCGAUGGAAUUCCAGGUGUAGCGGUGGAAUGCGUAGAUAUCUGGAAGAACACCAGUAGCGAAGGCGGUCGCCUGGCCUAAUACUGACGCUGAUGCUCGAAAGCUAGGGGAGCAAACAGG
RNAcentral lists this ribosomal RNA (416 nucleotides) under uncultured prokaryote. Its description in RNAcentral is "bacterial SSU rRNA". It matches the Rfam family "Bacterial small subunit ribosomal RNA", at positions 355 to 776 of the family's 1533-position model. RNAcentral also lists the same sequence under 1 other name. The record is from RNAcentral.